UAGAGACAGACUGAAGGUGGACUAUGAGACUGGAUCUCUGAACAUCACAGACACCACAACUGAACACACUGGACGUUAUGAAGCAGAGCUCAUCAGAAGUGAGAGUUCAGGAAAAAGUGAAAGCUUGAACAGAAGCCCCAAGUGUAACAGCACAAAAAUUUACAAAAAAAACAUUAACCCUGAAGACAUCAUAAUAACAUUCAGUCUGACUGUCAGUGCUUCUGAUUCUGGCAAAAACAAAAAUGAAGCCCAAAUAGUACCACAGGACAAAAAGAAGAUAUGUUCAGGUCCGUCUUCAGGCGCUGUAGCAGGAAUUGUUGUUUGUGUUCUGCUGCUGGCUGCAGUUGUUGGUGGUGUGGUGA
Cyprinus carpio (common carp) is the source of this 362-nucleotide long non-coding RNA. RefSeq lists it as uncharacterized. NCBI's taxonomy places the organism in Eukaryota, Metazoa, Chordata, Actinopteri, Cypriniformes, Cyprinidae. The record is from RefSeq and is a predicted model, not a curated record. The transcript has 3 exons.